UACGUAGGGUGCGAGCGUUGUCCGGAAUUAUUGGGCGUAAAGAGCGUGUAGGCGGCCAGAUAAGUCCGCUGUGAAAACUCGAGGCUCAACCUCGAGCUGUCGGUGGAAACUGUCUGGCUAGAGUCCGGAAGAGGAGAGUGGAAUUCCUGGUGUAGCGGUGAAAUGCGCAGAUAUCAGGAAGAACACCUAUGGCGAAGGCAGCUCUCUGGGACGGUACUGACGCUGAGACGCGAAAGCGUGGGGAGCGAACAGG
Molecule: ribosomal RNA, 253 nt
Filed under: uncultured bacterium
Lineage: Bacteria
Description: partial 16S ribosomal RNA
Rfam family: Bacterial small subunit ribosomal RNA
Source: RNAcentral